RNAcentral lists this unclassified non-coding RNA (1631 nucleotides) under Bactrocera tryoni. Its description in RNAcentral is "activator of 90 kDa heat shock protein ATPase homolog 1, transcript variant X1". The record is from RNAcentral. Lineage: Eukaryota; Metazoa; Arthropoda; Insecta; Diptera; Tephritidae.
UUGUCUGUCAAUAGCCACACGGAACGUGAUUUAAUAGAAAAUUGCUCUGCCUCUUAAUUUUGCUGAACCAAUUGCUCGGAGAAAUUUUUUAACGUUAUACUGAACAAAUAUUUAGUGUUUAACUAAUUUAGUAAAUUAUUUAGUAAAAAAUAAAAAAUGGCAAAGUGGGGUGAAGGUGAUCCACGUUGGAUUGUUGAAGAACGUCCGGACGCAACGAAUGUCAACAAUUGGCAUUGGACGGAAAAAAACGCUACACCUUGGUCCAAGGACCGUUUAGCACAAUUAUUUAAAGGACUUAAGAUUGAAAAGGAUGGCAUCGAAUGUAUUGUAGAUAAUGUUGACGAUUGUACUGGUGAAGCUACAGUUAACAAUCGUAAAGGGAAACUUAUUUUCUUCUAUGAAUGGAAAUUGAUACUUAAAUGGACUGGAAAAUUAUUGAAUAAUAGCAAUUUAGAGCAUAAAGGUAAAAUAACUAUACCGAAUUUGUCCGAAGAAAACGAUUUAGAUGACAUAGAGAUAACCAUUACCAUUGACGAGUCCAACGAUGAAUCGGAAAAUCUGAAACAGUUCAUGUAUAAUAAUGGACGAGAUGUUGUACGGAAACAGAUCGCAUUGUAUAUCAAGGAAUUGAAAGAGGAAUAUUCCAAAAAUUUAAUACUUCCGAAAAAGGGCGAAGAAAAUACUGUAGUCUCGCCAAAGAUAAAACAAGCCGGAUCCAGUAUCGCAGCGGAAGCUAAUUUAUCGAAUAGUGCAAAUACAGUGAAAGCCAGUGAUAAAUCAGGGAAUAAUGUUGGCUGUAAGUUAGACGUAAGAACGUUAAGAAUGGCUGUUGAGUUCAAUUGUAGUGCGAACGAUUUAUAUAAUGCCUUGACAAAAGAGGAUAUGUUAACUGCUUUCACCCGUGCACCAGUUAAAGUGUUGCCAACGCGCGGUGGAGAAUUCGUUUUGUAUGGCGGUAAUGUGCUAGGUAAGUUCGAAGAACUGGUACCAGAAAAGAAGAUUCAACAAACUUGGCGACUUAAAAACUGGCCUUCAGGUCACUACUCCCAGGUUGUGAUAGACUUGGAGGAGACGAAAAACAACACCCAAUUGAAGCUAACACAAACUGGCAUUCCUGCGUCCGAAUAUGAUGCUAUGACCACAAACUGGCACCGAUACUACUGGGAGAGCAUGAAACAAACGUUUGGCUUCGGCUUAUCUAUAUCGGGUUUAUGGUAAAACUAGUUAGUUGUGUUAGGCGUUGCGUAGUAAAAUAAAAUAUCAUGUAAACAAAAACCUCAUUGCCCAUAGACGUCAUAUAUAUAGACUAUGUAUAUUGAAUGAGCAACAAAAACAAACAAACACCACAAAGAGCUGCACUUUAUAGGUUAUUUAAUUAUUUUCCGUUUAGAAUUUAUUUAUAUACGCUUUAAGAACAGCCAAGUUUCGCGUGCGCUUGGUGAUGGCUUCAACUAAUUACAGCUGAUCGUCUCUUUUUCCUACGCAAAAUAUAAAACAACAAUGAGGAAAAUUGCUUAAUCUUUGGAUAAAAAAAAGUUAGAACAAAAAAUUAGAUUGUCGAUGUAAUUUCUUGAAAACAAAAAGUCGCAAAUAAACGAAAGAUCUGGCCACAGUUUGAAGGCAAAUAUUAA